UGUUUCCAUUGCUGUAGGAGGAGAAUACAGGGAAUUCCCUGUCUGACCUUGCUAGUACUUCAUAUACGAGAGAACGAGAGAUUUCCCAGCUGACGUUACCAGAAGCCUUCAGGAGACCUGCGCCAUGCCCCCUAGAUGCGGCAGUGCCCGGCAAUGGGCGCAGGCAGACUAGGCCAGCGGAUGCGGUCUUCCAUAGCGUCAGCGGCUACGGCGGGGCAGCUUUCCAGUGGCUAUUCUGAAAUGCCAAAGAGACACAAUGUUAGAUCACCUGGGAAAAGCCGCUGCAAUCUCUGAAUGACCAAGUCGUCCAUUCAUAUCCAUCCCGCCUAUUAUAAGAGAGAGGUUUGUGCCAGUGUUUGGACAAAAGGCGAUUGCUGCUCUCCAGCAGAGGGCAGUGCAAAAGUGCAGAGCCAGCGCAGAGCCUUGGGGCAGAGCGUCCGUGGGGGAGGAAGGUCUCCGCAGUGAAGUUUGAAGCCGUUCUSCAAAUUCGUGAAUCUGAUUUAUGUUCUUCGCCCCUCUCGGUGAGUACUUAUUACAUGGAGGUGAGUUUUUACAUGUU
RNAcentral lists this long non-coding RNA (559 nucleotides) under Dromaius novaehollandiae (emu). RNAcentral's name for it is "lncRNA (ENSDNVG00000017285.1)". The record is from RNAcentral. Lineage: Eukaryota; Metazoa; Chordata; Aves; Casuariiformes; Dromaiidae.